This 254-nucleotide ribosomal RNA is filed under the name uncultured bacterium. RNAcentral's name for it is "partial 16S ribosomal RNA". It matches the Rfam family "Bacterial small subunit ribosomal RNA", at positions 524 to 776 of the family's 1533-position model. The record is from RNAcentral.
UACGGGGGGGGCAAGCGUUGUUCGGAAUUACUGGGCGUAAAGGGCUCGUAGGCGGCCAACUAAGUCAGACGUGAAAUCCCUCGGCUUAACCGGGGAACUGCGUCUGAUACUGGAUGGCUAGAGUUUGGGAGAGGGAUGCGGAAUUCCAGGUGUAGCGGUGAAAUGCGUAGAUAUCUGGAGGAACACCGGUGGCGAAGGCGGCAUCCUGGACCAACACUGACGCUGAGUGAGCGAAAGCCAGGGGAGCAAACGGG